RNAcentral lists this ribosomal RNA (477 nucleotides) under uncultured bacterium. RNAcentral describes it as "bacterial SSU rRNA". It matches the Rfam family "Bacterial small subunit ribosomal RNA", at positions 32 to 507 of the family's 1533-position model. The record is from RNAcentral.
AACGCUGGCGGCGUGCCUAACACAUGCAAGUCGAACGGAGAGUUCAUUGAGGAGACUUCGGUCAACGAGAUGAAUUUCUUAGUGGCGGACGGGUGAGUAACGCGUGAGCAAUCUGCCUUUCAGAGGGGGAUAACAUUCUGAAAAGAAUGCUAAUACCGCAUAACGUAUUGAGAUGGCAUCUUCUUGAUACCAAAGGAGCAAUCCGCUGAAAGAUGAGCUCGCGUCUGAUUAGAUAGUUGGUGGGGUAACGGCCUACCAAGUCGACGAUCAGUAGCCGGACUGAGAGGUUGAACGGCCACAUUGGGACUGAGAUACGGUCCAGACUCCUACGGGAGGCAGCAGUGGGGAAUAUUGGGCAAUGGGCGCAAGCCUGACCUAGCGACGCCGCGUGAGUGAAGACGGUCUUCGGAUUGUAAAACUCUGUUGACAGGGACGAUAAUGACGGUACCUGUCGAGGAAGUCACGACUAACUACGUG